Molecule: long non-coding RNA, 391 nt
Filed under: Lonchura striata (white-rumped munia)
Lineage: Eukaryota; Metazoa; Chordata; Aves; Passeriformes; Estrildidae
Description: domestica (Bengalese finch) lncRNA (ENSLSDG00000014253.1)
Source: RNAcentral
CUGCUAUCUUGUAUUUAAUUUUUAUUUCUAGAAAAACACUUAUUCAGAUACAUUUGGCCCAGGAUCAUAUGACAAUUGAUGCCAGUUCUGCUCAGUUGCCACACAUUAUACAGGAAUACUACAAUAAAUUAGUUCAAGUUGAGAAGGACUUUCUUCAUCAUGGGCAUAAAAACUACAGUGCUGAAAUACUGCUGGAACGUGCAAAUAUUUGUAGGAUGACUGCCAAGCAGGAAAAGAACAAAAGAAACAAACACAGUCACUAUCUAGAUGCUUAUAACUUAGCUCAGAGAGCUGUAUCCAAAACAGAGGAAGUAUUUAAUAACAUUUGUAGUUUAUUUGCAUUGAAUGAGAGUAAAAAUGUUAGUAUCCCAUUAAUGAGACAACUAGCUCU